GUUGGAUAUUUCUUCCUUUUUGGUGUGCAGAUGAGCUUUUUUUAUUUGAAUUGUACGAAAUUGGAAUAAGUAUUUUCAGCAACCUGAAAGGCUUGUGUAAAACCACUUCCUUACUCAAGCAUUGUCACAAUGAUUUAAGAUAUUUACUGAAUGCUUGUAUUUGUUUGGUUAUAGGCCUGAACAAUCAGUGUGUGUGGAAAUUUUGCCAUACUAGGGACAGCUGGUGGUUGGAUUCGGCGGUUCAAUCUGCAGUCAGGAAGCAGCCGAGGUAGUUAUGUGGAUCCAUCGGAAAGAAGCGGCUCUGCCCAUGACGGGGAAGUUGUUGGAAUUGCGUAUGAUUCAACUAAUACUCACAUGAUAAGCGCUGGAUAUCAGGGAGACAUAAAGGUCUGGGAUUUCAAGGGACGUGCAGUACCAUCUAUAUGGGAAGUUGGGAGCGCUGUUGUCAGGAUUGUAUACAAUCGUUUGAAUGGUCUUUUGGCUAUUGCCGCUGAUGACUUAAUUAUCCACUUGUUUGAUAUUGUUCGAGAUGAGCUAACUAUAGCUUGGGAUGACGAGCUUGAUUCUUUUGUAGCACAUAUAUAUGAGAGAUUUCGAAGAUAGAGCACUUAUCAUUCACACGUAUCAAUUUCGCUCGACUCCUACUCGUUUAGUGCCAUUUCAGCUGUUAAACGGGGUUAAUAGCUUCUGAUUCAUCUCAAUAAUAAGGCUCUAAUGAUUGCAAUUACGAGCCG
This is an RNA transcript of Fragaria vesca subsp. vesca, 734 nucleotides long. RefSeq lists it as uncharacterized. The record is from RefSeq and is a predicted model, not a curated record. Lineage: Eukaryota; Viridiplantae; Streptophyta; Magnoliopsida; Rosales; Rosaceae. The transcript has 3 exons.